RNAcentral lists this ribosomal RNA (253 nucleotides) under uncultured bacterium. RNAcentral's name for it is "partial 16S ribosomal RNA". It matches the Rfam family "Bacterial small subunit ribosomal RNA", at positions 524 to 776 of the family's 1533-position model. The record is from RNAcentral.
UACGUAGGGUGCGAGCGUUGCCCGGAUUUAUUGGGCGUAAAGGGCGCGUAGGCGGCCACGCACGUCCGUUGUGAAAUCGCCCGGCUCAACUGGGCGGGGUCAGCGGAUACGGUGUGGCUCGAGCAAGCUAGGGGGCAAUGGAAUUCCCGGUGUAGUGGUGGAAUGCGUAGAUAUCGGGAGGAACACCAGUGGCGAAGGCGGCCAGCUGGCGCUGACCUGACGCUGAGGCGCGAAGGCGUGGGGAGCGAACGGG